UGAGUUUACCCUAAUUUUAUCCCCACCCAUCGAGCUCCAUUCACACUCCACACAAAUUCAAUGAGCGUGUUCCUCUAUCCGUUACCGAGUUGCUUCUUCUCUCCGUCGCACCAGCUUCUUCCACCGCUGUCGCCACAUUUCGCGUUGCAGGAUCUCUCUCUGUCAUCCUUGCGUCGCAUGGGCUCCCUCCACCGCUGCUCUCGUCGUGUCUGCAUCGAUUCGUAGAACUCAGCUCAACUCAACUCGGUGGAAACUCGGUGGUUAUUGUUGAAUGGCGAAGCUUGAAGCGAAGCACGGAAUGAUAGUGGACUCCGUUGGUAACUUCUCCGGCAAAGACCAGCUUCCCUGGUGUGACCCUGACAUCGUCGCUAUUCAUGGAGGAUCACAACACAGCUACCUUUCCUUCCAAAAAGCGUCAAAUGGAAAAAGGAUAUGAAGAAAUGUAUUAAGAAGGUUCGGACAAUGACAAGAACACCCUCCCGUUCUGCCGAAUGGCCGUUCCAUUCUAUGACACAACUACAUUCCCUUCCAAUUCUCAUUUCACUUUCCCUUCUUUCAUCUCUCUCUUUCUAUUUCCAUUUUAUUAUUAUUUUGUUUUUUAGAAUGCCUCGCCAUUUGAGUUUCACAUUCAUUUAAAGGUUCAUUCUUUAUUUUUUAAAUCUCUUCUUGGAAAUACUUGUUGAAGGAGGGGAAUUUUUGUUUUGGAAAAUGAAAGAGGAUGUGGAAUUGGUAUUUUGAGAUUUGUGUGGUGAUUUUGAAGAGAGAGGCGAUUCUUAAAGGAGAUGAAGACUUUGAUUGCGACAAUGUAUUUGCCAAGGAGCUUAAGAAUGCAGGCUUGGUUGUUGAGAGUUAUUGGCAAUUCAGAUGAGUUCUUCAAGGCAAGAAUUGUUGCAAGCACGUGAAAAAGCAUAAGAAAGAGCAAGUGAUUGCUUUGAAGCACUCUAUGCAAAGUGGAAUGGCACAGGCAAUGAUAGAGUAAGCUCAACUGAGGGAGGAAAUGGCAUACCAAUACAAGCUUGGUAACUUUGAGGCUGCUGCUGCAAUCCAGAGAAGGUUGGAUCCUGAUGCUGCUUUAUAGUUGGAUAUAGCUUCCAUGAAUAAAUAUAGAGAAAAGAGCUUUCUGAUCAAAGAAUUUGGUGACAGUUUCAUGGCGAUCAUGCCUUCAUGACAAACAUCAAUGUAGAUUAUGAAUUGUUAUGGUUACAGGAGCGCCAUCUUGGAGAUAUGAAUAAGCAACUUAGGCUCAAGCUUGAGGCAGAAGGGUUCAAUCUAAAAGCUAUGGAAAGCUUGUGGAGUUUAACUUCAGCUGCUACAAAUAGCAACUUUACCUUUCAGCCUUCUCAAACCAAUAACCCUUAUAU
Long non-coding RNA from Arachis duranensis, 1361 nucleotides. RefSeq lists it as uncharacterized. The record is from RefSeq and is a predicted model, not a curated record. Lineage: Eukaryota; Viridiplantae; Streptophyta; Magnoliopsida; Fabales; Fabaceae. The transcript is spliced from 8 exons.